Long non-coding RNA from Anguilla rostrata (American eel), 1787 nucleotides. RefSeq lists it as uncharacterized. The transcript has 2 exons. NCBI's taxonomy places the organism in Eukaryota, Metazoa, Chordata, Actinopteri, Anguilliformes, Anguillidae. The record is from RefSeq and is a predicted model, not a curated record.
CAGAUGGCGCGAAGUCUGCAGCUCCAGCGAUGUUCACAUGGUGCUAAAAUCCUCCUCUCUCACAUUCCAACAAAUCCAAGCAAGAGGCUCACAAGUGCGCCUCCAUCACCAAUUCGCUCGGUCUGUAGGGCCCCUGGCACUUUCCACUCAUCUAUGACCAACUAGGGGAAGAAAAACUGCUGUCAUCACUCCAUAAUGUAUCUACACAUAUAAAUCCUUUUUUUUUCCUCCUCUCUCUUUUUUUUUUGGUGUGUCUGGAUCCAUUUACAGGUUUAUUAGCCCACGGGGGUAAGGGGUUUCAGAGAUUGAUAGACAGGGAGGGGACGAUUGUCGAAAAAAAAAGCCCCCCGAAAGAAUGGGGAAAAGGACCCAGGGUGGCGCCGGAGUGUAAAAUCUCGUUGAGUAAACACAGGGCCAAGGCAUGACUGAGAAGGCCGCCGAUUCCGUUCGUGUCGGAGGAGGAGAAACAUAAGGAGCUUUCAAUUAGUUUCGCUCCCAAUGGCAUCCGCCGCUGCUCCUGACGAGCGGCUCCCGGCUCCGCGAGCGCCCGCUCUGUUGUGCGUGCGCGUCUCUGUUUAUACAACACAAAGUUAUCUCAUGACAAAUUAAAGAAGUGCAAAGAUGAAAUUUUUGGACGUUCAUCCGUGUUUGCGGAGACCUCUUAGUGGCGCGGGGAUUUUUUUUUUCUUUCUUUCUUCUUCUUCUUCUUCUUUUCCCCCCCCUCUCUGCUGUGAAAACAGACGCGCGCAACAUUGGAGAUGGCUCCUGACUGCUUGACCUGGCAUUGGCUGGUGUGAAACGCGUUGGAGCCCGGCAGAGUUGGGAGAGUUUAGUGUUGUGAGCACCUGCGUGGAUGGUGAUAGUGGGCUCGUGCGACGUCGCUGAGGCGCAGAAUACCACGGUGGUGACAUUCCCUCUCCCUCGCCAAACUCCGUUACCAAGUUCUGUCACAUGACAGGACAAAAGUGAAGGGGAGUUUAAAGAAGAAGAAGAAGAAUGAAGUGAAACGUUCACGUGCAGGAGGAGGAGAGGGCCUGGCACACGUGGCGAUGGGGCUCAUUGAAUGCAGGGGUUAAACUCCGCUAAUGGGCCAGAGACAACAUGGAUCGUUCAGGCCCAACUCGGGGACGUCAUUUUAAGAACGUGAGGAUACCGGUAGAUUCUGAGAUUGGAGCCAAGUAGGCGAGAAGCUAAACAGAGGAGUAGCCUACUGCAGCUGGAAAAAUAUUGAGGGACAUCCAGGGGUUCUCAAACUUGCUGGCAUACAAGUCCCUUAAUGCGUUGAUAAACUUUGUUGAUAAACACACCACUUAGCUUAAGCAUUAACCCACCUCAAGCCCUCGAACAUAAAAUUUGCACUAUACCACCCAGCUCUGAUCCUAAUCUCGUGUGCGCCCCCGCUCCCCCCACCACGCACACACAUACACGCACUGUGCCCCACGUCUACACUAUCUUUAUCUCUCUAUUUUUACAGGGUUCAAGAAUGAUGGUGUCCACCAAAUGACUCUGCCAAUGUAGAUACGGAAAACCCCGGUUCUUGAAGACCUCAGGCUUUUGUGGUAUUGUACAGCUUCCCCGCUGGCUAAACAUAAGCAAGCAGAUCACAAGUGUUUAAGGGUAUUUUUUAUUACCUAUUACCUAGCAUCUAAAUUCACAAAUUUAAAGAAAAGAUCUGUGUAUGUUACAUUAGCUGUUUGCUUAAGUAUUGCGAUGCAAUUCUUUAUUUGAUAUAACUUAUGGAUUAUGUCAUUGCUCUGGACAGUAUUCAAAUAAAAUUUCAAAGAUUC